UACGUAGGGUGCAAGCGUUAAUCGGAAUUACUGGGCAUAAAGCGUGCGCAGGCGGUUGUGCAAGACAGAUGUGAAAUCCCCGGGCUUAACCUGGGAACUGCAUUUGUGACUGCACGGCUAGAGUGCGGCAGAGGGGGAUGGAAUUCCGCGUGUAGCAGUGAAAUGCGUAGAUAUGCGGAGGAACACCGAUGGCGAAGGCAAUCCCCUGGGCCUGCACUGACGCUCAUGCACGAAAGCGUGGGGAGCAAACAGG
Molecule: ribosomal RNA, 253 nt
Filed under: uncultured bacterium
Lineage: Bacteria
Description: partial 16S ribosomal RNA
Rfam family: Bacterial small subunit ribosomal RNA
Source: RNAcentral